This is a long non-coding RNA of Pogoniulus pusillus (Red-fronted tinkerbird), 739 nucleotides long. RefSeq lists it as uncharacterized. The record is from RefSeq and is a predicted model, not a curated record. The transcript has 2 exons. NCBI's taxonomy places the organism in Eukaryota, Metazoa, Chordata, Aves, Piciformes, Lybiidae.
CACCCAAGAUGGGAUGGUGUGUUUGAUUGAUUUGGGCAUCAGAUCCCACAUCAGUUUCUUCAUUACAGGUAUUGUGAGGUCACUGUUAUCGAUGUAUGUGGUUCCAUGUUUUGAGGUGUAGAAAAGUGCCUGCCUUUCUGGGAUGUCUGACAGUUUGCUAAUAUGACCUUCUCCAUAUUCAGUUUUCAAGUGCAGACUUAAUUGCAUUCAUGGCUGCUCUUGACACCCAAGCGCAAGCAAAGAUACUGUUGCUCGUCAAACUUUUGAGUCACAAUAGUCUCUAAUAUAUUUGUCUAUCAUUUUCUCAGCAGGCUGGUUACACUUUGUUCUUUUUUUGAUGUAAAAUAUAUUCUCUCAUAAAUAAGAUCCUUAUCCCUUGAUAUUUUGUUAACUAUGCUAACCUCUCAGAAAUUGUUGCUUUGCUUUGGUUUGUUCUGUUUUUAGGUUCUCUUGGGUUUGGUUUUAAUAUCUUUACAUAUUAAAGGACUAGUGUGAGAAUGGAAUGUGAAAAGGAUAACAGGUGAAUGCUGAGCUUGGUUUCCACAGCUGGCUGCCUAAUCUGAGGAGAAGGAUAGCUAAGUGGACAUCUCGUUAAUGAGAAAAACAAGGCAUGGUUAUGUAAAGGACUGAGUUGUUCUUGCCUAAUUAUGCUAAUGUGUAGAUGUGUGCUCUAUGCUCAGAGACUAUAUAAUGAGAGCCAAAGUGAUCAAUAAAUGUCUCUGGUACAAUUCACAUUGAA